This is a long non-coding RNA of Globicephala melas (long-finned pilot whale), 910 nucleotides long. RefSeq lists it as uncharacterized. NCBI's taxonomy places the organism in Eukaryota, Metazoa, Chordata, Mammalia, Artiodactyla, Delphinidae. The record is from RefSeq and is a predicted model, not a curated record.
UUGGCGGUCCCAGCAGUCUGGGCCCCGUGAGUCGGAUGCAAAACAGGCAGCACAAACGUCUGGUGCUGAAUCCCAAGAGGAUUCCUCUCGGGGCGCCAUCACGUGGGAACACGGCCUCCGCACUGUGCAUCUGACGGGACCACAGGCCUGGAGGACGGUGACCGUGUGGUAGGCAGGGAGCUGGGUUCUCUGUGGCUCAAGCCUGGCUCCUGUCUGGGGACGCCGUCCGAGGCCUGGUGGCACCAUCACCAGAAUGUCACUCCUGCAUCCUCACCUGCCUCCUAGACCAGCUUUACCAGGAAUCCAACUGCACACUCGCCACACACACCCAAGAUCGGGCUCACUGUCUUAUUCCAAAGCAUCUGUUCUUCCUCCAUUCUCUCUCUUGAGGAGUGUUUCCGAAGCCUCCAGCAUCACCUGGUCUCCCAGAUGAAACCUGAGGGUCGGACUCUCCAUGUGAGUCCCUUGAAGCAGAAAGGAAGACACAGGACUUAUGACCAUGCCUUGGCGCACACGGGCCUUCUCAAUGCUUUUAGGACCAAGACUACCAUCUUCCAGCUGUACCCAGUACUCAGCAAGUGACAUGACAGAGCUCGUGGUUGAGCUCCUCCUCCUGCCCUCAUCUUUGGCAUCACCGGAGAACACAGAGGGGAUGCGGGUUCGAUCCCUGGUCGGGGAACUAAGAUCCCACAUGCCUCGGGGCAACUAAGCCUGCACGCCACAACUACUGAGCUUGUGCGCCUCAACGAGAGAGCCCACGUGCUGCAAACUACAGAGCCCACGCACCCUGGAGCCCGCACUACACAACUAGAGAGAGAAAAACCCGCAUGCCACAGCUAAAGAGAAGCCCGUGUGCUGCAACGAAAGAACCCGCAGGCCUCAACCAAGAUCCCGUGUGCCUCAACUAAGA